CCACCUACCCUCCACCUUCUACCACAUCGCCACCGGAGAAGCACCCUAGGACGCCGUCGCCCCACCCACCUUCUGCCGCGCUGCCCCGCCCGCGUCCACCUUCUGCCGCGCUGCCAGAGCACCACCCUGGCCGCCGCCGCGCCCCGCCCAACCCCCGUCCACCUUCUUACAAAGCCGCCACCGGAGCACCACUCCUGCCGGCACCAUGCAGUCCAGUACGUGGGGGCACGCAGCACGCCCCACCAUCGCCUUGCAGUCCAAAGUCCGGAUUUCUUGCUGUUGCGUUGCGUGCAGCGACAAGGAGAAGUCCGGAUCCAUCAGCCUCGUCUCCCGCUACCUGAGCUAGUUCUACAAUGAGCAGGUGCUAUCGCUCACUAUCCUCCCCCACAAUGCAGUGUGGCAGGGCCGCGGAUGCAGUGCGGCAGGGCGGCGCUUGUAGUGCGGCACUCACAGCCGAGCAGCAAACCCAUUGAACCUAUUGAGUAGAUGAGGCCGACGAAUCCCUACAGAAAACGGAAGAUCCUAUCCAUCAGUUCUUGCAUCUUUGUCAUGUUUUUCUAGUGAUUGCUCUGAUGAUCCGUUGUGCAAGAUAGGCUGAAGGCCCAGCCUUCUUUGGUACGACAUCAAUAGAGUACUCUUUGUGCUGAAACCAUGCCUUUUUUUGUUGUUGCGAAACACAAGUUUUUAUAGUACUAGAAUCAUUAGCAAGAAUGUAUGGGAACUUGCUUUCAGUGAGAUAUAUGUUCUUUUUUCCAGGCAGAAACGGGAGUUUACAGAAACCUACGAAAUUAGUAGAUUGCAAUGCUCAUUAUCUGAGACCACAAGUUAUCUUGUUUAGUUGCAUAAGGUGUUACUGGUAACGAUUGCAUAACUUUGAUUUAGCUACUAAAUAUCUCAUCAUGUAUUUGCUAGAUUCAGUCUCAAAGUCCUGCGCCGCAUCAAUGUUUCUUCCUACAUAUGGUCUGCUGGAAACAUUAGGAUAAAAAGAGUACUCUCGUUCCGAGUGACAACCACAAAAAACAGACAGUUCUGGUUCCAGUUCCCUACCACUGAGGAGAGCUUCAUCCCUCGCACGCACACCUCAAGAUAAUAGCACAACUGGAAAACUAUUCUCAUUGGUGUGCAGCAGACAAAACUAUUUUGGAAGAUGGCACAGCUCACAUGAUCGACAUGCUCAAGUAAUCACCUAUCUGCAAACCAAGGUAGCAUAAUAAAUAACAAUAUGUGCCAACCAAAGAAAAGGCUGAAGUAACACACUGCGGCAGGGCGGCGCUUGCAGGGCGGCACUCACGGCCGAGCAGCGAACCCAGCUACCGACCAGAGGGCACCAAGGCCUCAUCAUUCACAUAUGACCAGGACGGCAAAGAGCGUGCUGUGGCCGAGAUCAAUUUUCUCAGCCUCACAGACUAUGUGGGCCCCAAGCAGAAGACCGGCUGGGGAGUGGCUGCUCUGUGGAGCGGCAACAAGUCCAUGUAUACCUUGAUGAAUGUCCUGCAAAUGCUGAAUAGCAACCAGAGCUUUGUGCCAUACAGGCAGAGCAAAGUUACUCGUAUUCUCUGCAAGACUCUUUGUUCAAGACGAGCGGGGCUGUGGUGAUUGCCUGCUUGGAAGAAGUUCGUGCAGUCCAAAAAUCAAAGGCGUGCGUCCGUACAAUCCAAAAAUCGAAGGCGUGCAGUGCAGUAGAGCACCAGAAGCAGUGUCCAAAAUAGCCCCCUCGAUCCCGUCUAUCUGCCGACGACAACUACUCACAUGGCGCUGCUUCCUGGAUAUGCCAUGCAGUUCAGCGGCAUGGUCGUGCAAUCCAAGGCAUGUGUUGUCACGGAUCGCGGGCUUGGGCAUGUGGUGCAUGCAGUGCGGCGUGUGGGUGUGUGCAGUGCUCAACGAUGGCCAUGGAGCACCGAACGACAAACACCACCU
Molecule: RNA transcript, 1917 nt
Organism: Triticum dicoccoides
Lineage: Eukaryota; Viridiplantae; Streptophyta; Magnoliopsida; Poales; Poaceae
Exons: 5
Source: RefSeq, a predicted model, not a curated record